UGAGUUUCUACUUUUCACACCUUUUCCUUUGUUGUGCAUUUCACUCUUUCCAGUCCCCUUGGUAAUAUCACUCUCUCCAGUCCCCUUACUCAUACCACUCUCUAUCCAGUCCCUGUAGUCAUAUCACUCUCUCUCCAGUCCCUUUACUCAUACCACUCCCUAUCCAGUCCCUGUAGUCAUACCACUCUCUAUCCAGUCCCUGUAGUCAUAUCACUCUCUCUCCAGUCCCCUUACUCAUACCACUCUCUCUCCCUUCCCUGUAGUCAUAUCACUCUCUCUCCAGUCCCCUUACUCAUACCACUCUCUCUCCCUGUAGUCAUACCACUCUCUCUACAGUCCCUGUAGUCAUACCACUCUCUCUCCCUGUAGUCAUACCACUCUCUAUCCAGUCCCUGUAGUCAUACCACUCUCUCUUCAGUCCCCUUACUCAUACCACUCUUUAUCCAGUCCCUGUAGUCAUAUCACUCUCUCUCCAGUCCCCUUACUCAUACCACUCUCUCUCCCUGUAGUCAUACCACUCUCUAUCCAGUCCCUGUAGUCAUACCACUCUCUCUACAGUCCCUGUAGUCAUACCACUCUCUCUCCAGUCCCCGUAGUCAUACCACUCUCUCUCCCUGUAGUCAUAACACUCUCUCUCCCUGUAGUCAUACCACUCUCUCUCCAGUCCCUGUAGUCAUACCACUCUCUCCAGUCCCUGUAGUCAUACCAAUCUCUCUCCAGUCCCUGUAGUCAUACCACUCUCUCUCCAGUCCCUGUAGUCAUACCACUCUCUCUCCAGUCCCUGUAGUCAUACCACUCUCUCUCCAGUCCCCGUAGUCAUAACACUCUCUCUCCCCGUAGUCAUAUGACUCUCUCCAGUCCCUGUAGUCAUACCACUCUCUCUCCAGUCCGUGUAGUCACACCACUAUCUCUCUCCCUGUAGUCAUACAACUCUCUCUCCAGUCACUGUAGUCAUACCACUCUCUCUCCAGUCCCCGUAGUCAUACCACUCUCUCACUAGUCCCUGUAGUCAUACCACUCUCUCUCCAGUCCCUGUAGUCAUACCACUCUCUCUCCAGUCCCCGUAGUCAUAACACUCUCUCUCCCCGUAGUCAUAUGACUCUCUCCAGUCCCUGUAGUCAUACCACUCUCUCUCCAGUCCGUGUAGUCACACCACUAUCUCUCUCCCUGUAGUCAUACAACUCUCUCUCCAGUCCCUGUAGUCAUACCACUCUCUCUCCAGUCCCCGUAGUCAUACCACUCUCUCUCCCUUCCCCGUAGUCAUACCACUCUCUCACUAGUCCCUGUAGUCACACCACUCUCUCUCCAGUCCCUGUAGUCAUACCACUAUCUCUCCCUGUAGUCAUAUGACUCUCUCUCCAGUCCCUGUAGUCAUACCACUCUCUCCCCGUAGUCAUACCACUCUCUCUCCAGUCCCUGUAGUCAUACCACUAUCUCUCCCUUCCCUGUAGUCACACCACUCUCUCUCCAGUCCCUGUAGUCAUACCACUAUCUCUCCCUGUAGUCAUACGACUAUCUCUCCCUGUAGUCAUAUGACUCUCUCUCCCUGUAGUCAUACCACUCUCUCACUAGUCCCUGUAGUCACACCACUCUCUCUCCAGUCCCUGUAGUCAUACCAAUCUCUCACUAGUCCCCAUAGUCAUAGCAUCAUUACCGCUCCUGCAGUCAUUUUAGCCGCAAUCAACAAUCCCUUUCAAAAUUGUGCACUUUGCAGCGCAUUGAUAAAAUGCUCAAUUAUCGCAAAUAAAAUGGAUUCAAGUACAGAAGUGCCAACAAAACAGACACGUACUGUUCAGCUUGCUAGAUGCCAUCUUGCCUAAUCUUAUCUUUCUCUGCUUUGAUGACAGACAUUUACAUUUACGUCAUUUUGCAGACGCUCUUAUCCAGAGCGACAUACAUUUUCCAUACUGGUCCCCCUUGGGAAUCGAACCCACAACCCUGGCUUUGUAAGAUCCAUGCUCUACCAACAAAGCUACAAGGGAGGAGCGGCAGGAGUUGCUUAGACCAGUGGUGGAAAAACUGCUGUCCUUCAGGGUCACAGUCAAGCUAUUUGUCGUCUCUUCCUGGUACUCUCCCUGAUAUUGAUCAUUUCUCAGUACUUAUUAACCAUUAUAAACUGGCCAUAUACCACACCUCCUCAGGCCUUAUUGCGUAAGUGUCCAACACACCUGGCUGCCCAGAUUAAGGGGCAAGAAUGAAAGUCAGUAGACACUGAGGCCUGAGGGGGUACACCCUUUGAGUCCUUAGCCCAGAAAAGCAUGUGCAUAUCAUCUAACAAAGUGGUCACUAACCUUUCCUAGGUCAAGAUCACUUCCUGAGUCAAAAUACAAGCCGAG
Molecule: long non-coding RNA, 2336 nt
Filed under: Salmo salar (Atlantic salmon)
Lineage: Eukaryota; Metazoa; Chordata; Actinopteri; Salmoniformes; Salmonidae
Description: lncRNA (ENSSSAG00000110829.1, ENSSSAG00000117704.1)
Source: RNAcentral